GGGAAGCCUGAGGCAAAGAGGAGGGGGGACACAAUGCUGCAUGCUCAGAAGCCAUGAAACAAAUCAUUAAGCAGCAGUAAUCCAUGCUUCUCAAUACACAAGAAUCGUAUAUAUUCUUUCAUAGCAGACCUUCCAAGUCAUCAUCUUCUUCCGAUUUCCUGACUGCAGUCUCCACUCUGAUUAAUUAUUGAGACAAGAUGUCAGGAAACCAUGACAAGGAGAAUCCUGGGUCGAUCUUGACAAUUCAGUAUUGUUCGGCACAAAAUUUGCAUAUUAAAUGCUUUUUGUGCAGGGAACACUAUUUACUGCACACACACACAAAAAUAUUUCUAUGCAAAGAAAUCUCGUGUGGAUUUUGCUCUGAACUGCAAAUUGUCUUCAAAAGACAUAUA
Molecule: long non-coding RNA, 392 nt
Organism: Sceloporus undulatus (fence lizard)
Lineage: Eukaryota; Metazoa; Chordata; Lepidosauria; Squamata; Phrynosomatidae
Exons: 3
Source: RefSeq, a predicted model, not a curated record